This 460-nucleotide ribosomal RNA is filed under the name uncultured bacterium. Its description in RNAcentral is "partial 16S ribosomal RNA". It matches the Rfam family "Bacterial small subunit ribosomal RNA", at positions 338 to 795 of the family's 1533-position model. The record is from RNAcentral.
CCUACGAGAGGCAGCAGUGAGGAAUCUUGGUCAAUGGGCGCGAGCCUGAACCAGCCAAGUAGCGUGAAGGAUGACUGCCCUACGGGUUGUAAACUUCUUUUAUAAAGGAAUAAAGUGAGGCACGUGUUCCUUUUUAUAUGUACUUUAUGAAUAAGGAUCGGCUAACUCCGGGCCAGCAGCCUCGGUAAUACGGAGGAUCCGAGCGUUAUCCGGAUUUAUUGGGUUUAAAGGGAGCGUAGAUGGGUUGUUAAGUCAGUUGUGAAAGUUUGCGGCUCAACCGUAAAAUUGCAAUUGAUACUGGCAGUCUUGAGUACAGUUGAGGUAAGCGGAAUUCGUGGUGUAGCGGUGAAAUGCUUAGAUAUCACGAAGAACCCCGAUUGCGAAGGCAGCUUACUAAACUGUGACUGACAUUGAUGCUCGAAAGUGUGGGUAUCAAACAGGAUUAGAUACCCCAGUAGUC